GUCUUCGGAUGCUGACGAGUGGCGAACGGGUGAGUAAUACAUCGGAACGUGCCUAGUAGUGGGGGAUAACUACUCGAAAGAGUAGCUAAUACCGCAUGAGAUCUACGGAUGAAAGCAGGGGACCUUCGGGCCUUGUGCUACUAGAGCGGCUGAUGGCAGAUUAGGUAGUUGGUGGGGUAAAAGCUUACCAAGCCUGCGAUCUGUAGCUGGUCUGAGAGGACGACCAGCCACACUGGGACUGAGACACGGCCCAGACUCCUACGGGAGGCAGCAGUGGGGAAUUUUGGACAAUGGGCGAAAGCCUGAUCCAGCAAUGCCGCGUGCAGGAUGAAGGCCCUCGGGUUGUAAACUGCUUUUGUACGGAACGAAAAGCCUGGGGCUAAUAUCCCCGGGUCAUGACGGUACCGUAAGAAUAAGCACCGGCUAACUACGUGCCAGCAGCCGCGGUAAUACGUAGGGUGCAAGCGUUAAUCGGAAUUACUGGGCGUAAAGCGUGCGCAGGCGGUUUUGUAAGACAGUGGUGAAAUCCCCGGGCUCAACCUGGGAACUGCCAUUGUGACUGCAAGGCUAGAGUGCGGCAGAGGGGGAUGGAAUUCCGCGUGUAGCAGUGAAAUGCGUAGAUAUGCGGAGGAACACCGAUGGCGAAGGCAAUCCCCUGGGCCUGCACUGACGCUCAUGCACG
This 682-nucleotide ribosomal RNA is filed under the name uncultured beta proteobacterium. RNAcentral's name for it is "bacterial SSU rRNA". It matches the Rfam family "Bacterial small subunit ribosomal RNA", at positions 76 to 755 of the family's 1533-position model. The record is from RNAcentral. Lineage: Bacteria; Pseudomonadati; Pseudomonadota; Betaproteobacteria.